CGCAUCUGUGCAUGCAGCAUAUCAAUAAGCGGAGGAAAAGAAACUAACAAGGAUUCCCCUAGUAACGGCGAGUGAAGCGGGAAGAGCUCAAAUUUGAAAUCUUAAAGGGUUUCCCUUUACGAAUUGUAGUUUAAAGAAGUGUUUUCUGUUGAGGUUUUGGUAAAAGUUCUUUGGAAUAGGACAUCAUAGAGGGUGAGAAUCCCGUAUUUGACCUUUACUAUCAACUUUGUGAUACACUUUCAAAGAGUCGGAUUGUUUGGGAAUGCAGUCCAAAAUGGGUGGUAAAUUUCAUCUAAAGCUAAAUAUUGGCGAGAGACCGAUAGCGAACAAGUACCGUGAGGGAAAGAUGAAAAGAACUUUGAAGAGAGAGUUAAACAGUACGUGAAAUUGUCAAAAGGGAAGCGUUUGACACCAGUGUUGUUUUUCUGAAAAUCAAUUAAAGAACUGUUUAUGCUAAGUUGUUUAGACUUUAUCAGCUAACUGUUUAGUUUUGAGCUUUUCUUUAAUGCACUUUUCAGUUAACAAGUCAACAUCAAUUUCUUUCGCUGUAAAAAAGCUUGAGGAAGGUGGCUUGAGAUUCGUCUUAAGUGUUUAUAGCCUCUUGCCUAUGCAGUCGGAGAGAUUGAGGUCUGCAGCGUAGAUCCUUCGGGGCUAAAUGCAUUUGUGCUAAGUUAUAGCAUUUUAUAGACAACUUGUUGACUAUGAUUUGUCUUGUAGCUUACUCGCUUAUGUUAUUUUACCUACGCUUAGGAUGUUGAACGCGCACAGAGUCUC
RNAcentral lists this ribosomal RNA (774 nucleotides) under uncultured Neocallimastigales. Its description in RNAcentral is "partial large subunit ribosomal RNA". It matches the Rfam family "Eukaryotic large subunit ribosomal RNA", at positions 26 to 614 of the family's 3401-position model. The record is from RNAcentral. Lineage: Eukaryota; Fungi; Neocallimastigomycota; Neocallimastigomycetes; Neocallimastigales.